This 468-nucleotide ribosomal RNA is filed under the name uncultured bacterium. RNAcentral's name for it is "partial 16S ribosomal RNA". It matches the Rfam family "Bacterial small subunit ribosomal RNA", at positions 28 to 507 of the family's 1533-position model. The record is from RNAcentral.
GACGAACGCUGGCGGCGUGCUUAACACAUGCAAGUCGAACGGAAAGGCCCUGCUUUUGUUGGGUGCUCGAGUGGCGAACGGGUGAGUAACACGUGAGUAACCUGCCCUUGACUUUGGGAUAACUUCAGGAAACUGGGGCUAAUACCGGAUAGGAGCUCCUGCUGCAUGGUGGGGGUUGGAAAGUUUCGGCGGUUGGGGAUGGAUUCGCGGCGUAUCAGCUUGUUGGUGGGGUAGUGGCUUACCACGGCUUUGACGGGUAGCCGGCCUGAGAGAGUGACCGGCGCAAUAAGGACAGGGAAACCGGCAGGACGCCUACGGGGGGCAGCAGUGCGGAAUAUUGCACAAGGGGCGGAAGCCAGAUGCAGCAACGCCGGGUGCGGGAUGACGGCCUUCGAGGUGUAAGCCGCUUUCGCCUGUGACGGAGCGUGAGUGACGGUAAUGGGUAAAGAAGCACCGGCUAACUACGUG